CUUGGUGAUUGAAGCGGCGGGGGGACACCCGGUCCCAUCUCGAACCCGGUAGUUAAGCCCGCCAGCACCGAUGGUACUUGGCUGGUAACGGCCUGGGAGAGUAGGUCAUCGCCAAGG
Chloroflexi bacterium RBG_19FT_COMBO_62_14 is the source of this 117-nucleotide non-coding RNA. NCBI's taxonomy places the organism in Bacteria, Bacillati, Chloroflexota. The record is from Rfam.